UCUAAGACCUUCGAUUAAAAAUUCUGAAACACUUACCGCUCUAUCGAUAAAUUCUUUCCCAAACUUUAAAGAUUCUUUGCACAUUAAAGCACAAAUUAUUAUAAAUAGCUCUAAAACACUUCCCUAACUCUUAGGUGGAAAUAAUUUCAUUAAAAAAUAAACACCAUGAAAAUUCUUGUAUUAGUUUCAUGGCUUUGCCUUAUUAUAUUCUUGAAAACUUUGCCAUACUCAUCUUGCACCUUCAUCCCAAAAUCCACAAAUAAUGAACUCAUCUUGCAAAAUGAAAACAAGGAAAAGAUUGCUAAUGAAUUAUCAAGUAUAGAGAGCAACAAGGAUGAACAUAAAGAUGUUCAUAAAAUUGUUCAUCAAAGAAGAGGAGCUUAUGGUGGACCAGACCUUCUUAGAAAGGGACCCAAAAAAAAUGGAGCAAAUAAUUACAAAUUUGAAAAGCCAAUUUUAAUGUCUUCUUUUUUAUUUUUUCUUCUAGUUGUCUUCACUAUCUAAGUUUGGAAUUAACAAGCGUGUGAUUAGUCGAAAGUCCAUCAAAAAUAGUUCUUUUAUCUUCCUAUAAGGUAGGAGUAAUGGUGUGUGUAUACGGUAUCCUCCUGAGAUCUCACUUGUGUAAUUUCAUAGAAUAUGUUGUUGUUGAAACACGAUUGGUUUCUCUCUUGUGCUCCUUUUAAGUUUUUAUAUGCUCGUUUUAUUUUGUUUGUUUAUCGAGCAUAUAACCUUUUUCUCCCCUAAUAAUGGUAUCUGAAAGUUGAACCA
This is a non-coding RNA of Solanum lycopersicum (tomato), 768 nucleotides long. NCBI's taxonomy places the organism in Eukaryota, Viridiplantae, Streptophyta, Magnoliopsida, Solanales, Solanaceae. The record is from RefSeq and is a predicted model, not a curated record.